CGGUAAAAGCUCAAAUUUGAAAUCUGGUACUUUCAGUGCCCGAGUUGUAAUUUGUAGAAUUUGUCUUUGAUUAGGUCCUUGUCUAUGUUCCUUGGAACAGGACGUCAUAGAGGGUGAGAAUCCCGUUUGGCGAGGAUACCUUUUCUCUGUAAGACUUUUUCGAAGAGUCGAGUUGUUUGGGAAUGCAGCUCAAAGUGGGUGGUAAAUUCCAUCUAAAGCUAAAUAUUGGCGAGAGACCGAUAGCGAACAAGUACAGUGAUGGAAAGAUGAAAAGAACUUUGAAAAGAGAGUGAAAAAGUACGUGAAAUUGUUGAAAGGGAAGGGCAUUUGAUCAGACAUGGUGUUUUUUGCAUGCACUCGCCUCUCGUGGGCUUGGGCCUCUCAAAAAUUUCACUGGGCCAACAUCAAUUCUGGCAGCAGGAUAAAUCAUUAAGAAUGUAGCUACUUCGGUAGUGUUAUAGCUUUUUGGAAUACUGUUAGCCGGGAUUGAGGACUGCGCUUCGGCAAGGAUGUUGGCAUAAUGGUUAAAUGCCGCCCGUCUUGA
RNAcentral lists this ribosomal RNA (544 nucleotides) under Hanseniaspora uvarum. RNAcentral describes it as "eukaryotic LSU rRNA". It matches the Rfam family "Eukaryotic large subunit ribosomal RNA", at positions 99 to 657 of the family's 3401-position model. Lineage: Eukaryota; Fungi; Ascomycota; Saccharomycetes; Saccharomycodales; Saccharomycodaceae. The record is from RNAcentral.